Molecule: ribosomal RNA, 915 nt
Filed under: uncultured bacterium
Lineage: Bacteria
Description: bacterial SSU rRNA
Rfam family: Bacterial small subunit ribosomal RNA
Source: RNAcentral
AGAAUGAACGCUGGCGGCGUGCUUAACACAUGCAAGUCGCACGAGAACUCUUCUGCUUGCAGAAGAUAGUAAAGUGCCGCACGGGUGAGUAACGCGUGGGUAAUCUACCUCUGAAUUGGGGAUAACAUUGUGAAAGCGAUGCUAAUACCGAAUAAUAUCCCGAGAACCUAGGUUUUUGGGAUCAAAGGUGGCCUCUACAUGUAAGCUACUGUUUAGAGAUGAGCCCGCGUACCAUUAGCUUGUUGGUAGGGUAAUGGCCCACCAAGGCAACGAUGGUUAGCUGGUCUGAGAGGAUGAUCAGCCACACUGGAACUGACACACGGUCCAGACUCCUACGGGAGGCAGCAGUGAGGAAUUUUGCGCAAUGGGGGAAACCCUGACGCAGCAACGCCGCGUGAGUGAUGAAGGCUUUCGAGUCGUAAAGCUCUGUCAAGUGAGAAGAACCUGUCCCGCGAUAAUACCGCGGGAUACUGACGGUAUCACUGAAGGAAGCACCGGCUAACUCCGUGCCAGCAGCCGCGGUAAUACGGGGGGUGCAAGCGUUAUUCGGAAUUAUUGGGCGUAAAGGGCGCGUAGGCGGUCUUUUAAGUCAGAUGUGAAAGCCCGGGGCUCAACCCCGGAAGAGCAUUUGAAACUAAUGGACUUGAGUAUGGGAGAGGGAAGUGGAAUUCCUGGUGUAGAGGUGAAAUUCGUAGAUAUCAGGAGGAACACCGGUGGCGAAGGCGACUUCCUGGACCAAUACUGACGCUGAGGCGCGAAGGCGUGGGGAGCAAACAGGAUUAGAUACCCUGGUAGUCCACGCAGUAAACGGUGAACACUAGGUGUAGCGGGUAUUGACCCCUGCUGUGCCGCAGUUAACGCAUUAAGUGUUCCGCCUGGGGAGUACGACCGCAAGGUUAAAACUCAAGGAAUUGA